UGGGGAAUUUUGGACAAUGGGCGAAAGCCUGAUCCAGCAAUGCCGCGUGUGUGAAGAAGGCCUUCGGGUUGUAAAGCACUUUUGUCCGGAAAGAAAUCCUUGGCUCUAAUACAGUCGGGGGAUGACGGUACCGGAAGAAUAAGCACCGGCUAACUACGUGCCAGCAGCCGCGGUAAUACGUAGGGUGCAAGCGUUAAUCGGAAUUACUGGGCGUAAAGCGUGCGCAGGCGGUUUGCUAAGACCGAUGUGAAAUCCCCGGGCUCAACCUGGGAACUGCAUUGGUGACUGGCAGGCUAGAGUAUGGCAGAGGGGGGUAGAAUUCCACGUGUAGCAGUGAAAUGCGUAGAGAUGUGGAGGAAUACCGAUGGCGAAGGCAGCCCCCUGGGCCAAUACUGACGCUCAUGCACGAAAAGCGUGGGGAGCAAAACAGGAUUAGAUACCCUGGUAGUCCACGCCCUAAAACGAUGUCAACUAGUUGUUGGGGAUUCAUUCCUUAGUAACGUAGCUAACGCGUGAAGUUGACCGCCUGGGGAGUACGGUCGCAAAGAUUAAAACUCAAAGGAAUUGACGGGGUCAUAGCUGUUUCCU
RNAcentral lists this ribosomal RNA (588 nucleotides) under uncultured bacterium. RNAcentral's name for it is "partial 16S ribosomal RNA". It matches the Rfam family "Bacterial small subunit ribosomal RNA", at positions 355 to 1375 of the family's 1533-position model. The record is from RNAcentral.